UACGGAGGGUGCAAGCGUUGUUCGGAUUUACUGGGCGUAAAGCGUGUGUAGGCGGAUUUGCAAGUCAGGUGUGAAAUCCCCCGGCUUAACCGGGGAAGGUCGCUUGAAACUGCAAACCUUGAGUUCCGGGGAGGUGAGUGGAAUUCCCAGUGUAGAGGUGAAAUUCGUAGAUAUUGGGAGGAACACCGGAGGCGAAGGCGGCUCACUAAUCGGACACUGACGCUCAAACACGAAAGCGCGGGUAGCAAACAGG
RNAcentral lists this ribosomal RNA (253 nucleotides) under uncultured bacterium. RNAcentral describes it as "partial 16S ribosomal RNA". It matches the Rfam family "Bacterial small subunit ribosomal RNA", at positions 524 to 776 of the family's 1533-position model. The record is from RNAcentral.